UGCGUAGGCGGCUUUUUAAGUCGGAUGUGAAAUCCCCGAGCUUAACUUGGGAAUUGCAUUCGAUACUGGGAAGCUAGAGUAUGGGAGAGGAUGGUAGAAUUCCAGGUGUAGCGGUGAAAUGCGUAGAGAUGUGGAGGAAUACCGAUGGCGAAGGCAGCCCCCUGGGAUAACACUGACGUUCAUGCUCGAAAGCGUGGGUAGCAAACA
This 207-nucleotide ribosomal RNA is filed under the name uncultured bacterium. RNAcentral's name for it is "partial 16S ribosomal RNA". It matches the Rfam family "Bacterial small subunit ribosomal RNA", at positions 568 to 774 of the family's 1533-position model. The record is from RNAcentral.